GACUCUCGGCAACGGAUAUCUCGGCUCUCGCAUCGAUGAAGAACGUAGCGAAAUGCGAUACCUGGUGUGAAUUGCAGAAUCCCGCGAACCAUCGAGUCUUUGAACGCAAGUUGCGCCCAAGGCCAUUCGGCCGAGGGCACGCCUGCCUGGGCGUCA
This 156-nucleotide ribosomal RNA is filed under the name Triticum aestivum (bread wheat). Its description in RNAcentral is "rRNA 5_8S_rRNA". It matches the Rfam family "5.8S ribosomal RNA". From Rfam's summary of the family: 5.8S ribosomal RNA (5.8S rRNA) is a component of the large subunit of the eukaryotic ribosome. It is transcribed by RNA polymerase I as part of the 45S precursor that also contains 18S and 28S rRNA. The record is from Rfam by way of RNAcentral. Lineage: Eukaryota; Viridiplantae; Streptophyta; Magnoliopsida; Poales; Poaceae.